GAGAAAUUAGGUACAUAUAUGGAUAAAUAUAUUGUCCUAUAUAAUGGCAUUUGCCAUUCUGGUAAGGUACAUUGUCUAUUGUAUAGGACAGGAAGCCAGAGUGGGGCCAUGGGAGAGGGCAACACCUAGGGCAGCUGGACAUACAAAGGUCAGAGGUUAUCUAAGGAGGGGGUCAGCCAAAGGACCAAUUGAUGGAUUACAGACAUCAAUCACAUCACAGGAGACAAGUCUGUUUGAUCUUAGACAACCAUAUGAAGAGAAGGCGACCAGAACAGCUAGGCACCCUAAAGCUAAAGGAGAUGAAAGACACCAAAAGGGACACAUGGAGUUAAUUACAGGGUAUGAACACAGGCCACAGGAAAGGGGAAUGUAUAGUAUUUUUAGUAUAGCUGAGCAUGCUAAAAACAGAAGAGACACAUAGUCUGCUGACCCUAGAUAACACACAAACAGGAGAACGCAUUAAGCUGAGUGAAGGGUCAAAGCAAGGGUCUUGUCACCAUUAGGAUCUAAUGGAAAGCAGAUGGGGGCGUUAUUGGGCUGAACAAGCAGGAAGCACGGAUUGGGAUGUAACUUAAUUUGCAUAUGGGAGGGACUUAUAUGGUAGGUGUAUAACUCAGAGCGAGGGCUCUGAAAAAGUGUGUGUGUUCCGCGGACCGCUCCGGCUUAUGAUACUGUUGUAUUAAAAGUCUAUAUUGAUUUUCACAAAGUUCUUGGUUGUGUCAUAUUUGAACCGAUUUGCCACUACAUAAUUGGCGAGCUUGCCAGGAGAAUUAGGGACUGAAUAACGUUCUUGGCUGGCAGCGGGAUCUUUGGACGAUCUGGGCAAACAAGGGUGGCCACCCAGCUAAGGUAAGACAACAGUGAAAUGUUUGCGUAGAUCGCUUCAGAGAUCCUGCCUCAGCAAGAGGAGCGUCAAGUAGGUCUCUCUCUCUCAAAUUUCCUAAAAACUAUAGAAACGAAAGAACUUUUUGAAAUUCAAUGAAUUUGCAUGCAUGUGUGUAAGCUUGGAAAUUGUAUAAUGAAUGUGCAUGCAUGUCUAGUGAGUAAGUAGGUGGGGGCUGUGAACUUCGCUGGUGUAGGGUGUGUUAUUCUGGCAUGUUGGGGCUGGGAUUGGGCACAGGGUUACAGCUAUCUGCUUAUAAGGUUUGAAUAAAAUAAGUAGUUAUAGAAGUCCUGCGAUACCGCUUCAAAAUAUUUACCAGAAGGUCUGAAUGGGUAGGUUACUUUAUUGAUAAGUAAUCCUGCGAUACCGCUUCAAAAUAUUUAGCUGAAGGACUGAAUGGGUAGGCUACUUUAUUGAUAAGUAGAUAGAUAAACAUUCAUGGCUACCGCUUCAAGGAAAAGGUCUGUACGGAUGAGUAUUUAGAAAAUAAAUACACAUGGCUACCGCUUUGAAAUGAAGGUCUGUACGGGUGAAUAUUUAAAACACAGAAAGAACGCUGGCCUGAUUGUGCGACGUUCAACUGAAAAAGGAAAUCCUGCGAAUAUAAAACGCUCCGUCUAGCUAAACGGGGGUUUAUAAAUCAGUAGGUCGCACCACGAUAUUGCUCUAACGUAGAAUAAAGAUCAAUACGGGGUGGAUGAAUAGGAUAUGAAGACAAGCUGAUCCGAUUAGACAGUAGUCUCGUCAUGUCGUAAAAAUCCUAUAGGAUAAUACCAGUUUAUGUAGAGGAAGUGUAUUAAACUAGGGGAUAAACUAUAGGUCGUUUUUAGGUAAAAACGAAGGGUAUGCGUGAAAAAUCCUAUAGGAUAAUACCAGUUUAUGUAGAGGAAGUGUAUUAAACUAGGGGAUAAACUAUAGGUCGUUUUUAGGUAAAAACGAAGGGUAUGCGUGAAAAAUCCUAUAGGAUAAUACCAGCUUAUGUAGAGGAAGUGAAUUAAGUUAGGUAAUAAACUGUUUUGUUUUUAGGUAAAGACAAAAGGAUUGAAUGAAUGCUGUAAUAUAAUUAUUUGUGAUGAAUGAGCAGAUUAGAAAGAAGAGGAAGGACAGGCUGUGUGUCUGUGACCAACUGGGAAUGCGCAGGCCUCUCUGACAGUUAACUAAGUGUAAUUUGAGAAAGAGAGCGCAUUUAACUCUCACUGGGAAGAGGAACGAAAUCGAUAAAUAUUGGGCAAGAUAAGUUAUACAUAAGCAUAAAACAUUGACUGGAUAGUGAGUUAAAAGACCAUUGUAAAAAUUACAAUAGGUGUUAAAAAGAGGUAUUAAACAAGGCAUGGAUAGUAUAAAACGGAUGCGAAGUAGGAAGAAAUAACUUAAAAAUAUACAGAUAAACUAAAAUAUACUGGUUAAAAUAAAUCUAGGCAAAAGUGAGAAUUGCAUGAAAAUAGAAGUCUAGAACACAUUAAAAAUAUCACGAGCCCUGUAAACGAAAUAGGAGGCUGCAAUUUAAAAAUAGCCUCAGGAAUUAAACAGUAAAAUAGGCUAAGAGAGAAUAUAGCAAGCGGAUAAAUAAAGAGAUAAGAAAGUGCAGACAUUAUAAAUAAGCUGAAUUAGAAGGAAAAUUAUAUGAAAUAAGAUUUAAUACAUUGAAUAAAGUUAAAGUAAUAGUAUAAGCAAAGAUAAAAACACAGUGAUAUUUGAGGUGCUGUACUAGAAUAAGACAUUAAGGCUUCUGUAGUAUUCAGCAAUACAGUUGUAGACAUUAUAGAGUAGGUUUUAAUAGGAGGUAUUAAGUGAUGUGACUAAUAAAUUAUUAUUUGAGAAAGUAGGGUAGAUCUACCUUGGAAAAUAGUAAAUAAAGUAUAUAAUGCGAUGGGAGAGUUUAGGAAAAAUAAAUAGUGGCAUGGAAACAAAUGGACUGUUUCUCCCUGGAAUAUAGAGAUAGCGAAAUUUAAUAAAGCCAUAGAGUCGCUGAAAGAAGCGCACGUUAAUUCUACCAAUUCGAUUUGAAUAUGAAGGAGCGGUUUGCUACAAUGUAGGGCAACAUUACCCGGUAAACAGGAUAAAUAAAAUAAUGAAUUGGAACGAUCACAUAAAACCAUAACAAGAAGCUUAACUUACCAGCGUUUUAAUGUUAAUUAACAUUAUAUCAUCAGAAAUACAUUACGAUGGGGGAAGUGUAAGAAGUUGUAGAGCAGGGCUAACUAGUGUGGGGGAAAAUUAGUGUAAGAUGACACUGGAAUGCGAUAGUAGAGAAUGCAGAAAUACAGGAAUUUACACCCGUUUUAAAAGAACAACAACUGAUCGUUCUAAGGUUAGUACGAAUGAAGUUUUCACCAAGCGGUGUAUAGUCUCUGAUUAAUCAAAAAGUGGUUCAUAGAGAGUACAGUUUAUGUGAUGAAAUACGUACUAGAUCACGUUUUACCUAACUUAUAGUAAGGUACCGAUGUAAUUUACAAAUAGCCCCACUCGGAGUCGUUUUGCAUUAAAAUGGCGGUUUCAGUGGUGAUAAAAUGCGUGGAGAAGUUGUUAUUAGCGUCAAAAUACGGAAAAUAAACGUAUAUGAAAAAUCACAAGCGUGGUAAAAAUAGUUAGAAGAAAAGCAAAUUGUAGAGUAUGGGUCUAUUCAAUUUCUAAGGGUAGGAUACAGAUGGCCGAGCAGGGGGGAAUUGUGCGUUCUGUGCAUGGCUGGAGCUUUUAUCGCAUGCUCGGGAUAAGUGAGGGGAUUUUAGUAUGUGUGUUACUGUUGGCUUGCUGAUUUAGAGGGUGGCAUGGUGAAUGUUAACGAAAUGUACAUUUCUUUUCCAGAAAAAAGGGGUUACAUUUUCAAUGGGUUUUUCAGUUCGGUUUCAAAUUGGGUAUGCAGAAGGAUGGAAGUGCUUUUGAAAGUGUGGUUAAGAUGUUUCUAAAGAAAAAAGAGUGAAAACAUUAUAAUGGUGUCGAAUGCCCUGAACUCUAAGAAUUUCCCGUGAAGACUGAUCAACUUCACUAGAAAUUUUUGGAAUAGGUGGGAUUUAAUUAUAAAAUGAUUGAGAAACACCAGUUUCUGUUCAAAGUGUAGAAUCACUUUGAAAUUCCAUUAUUUCCUUGGGAAAAAGAUGAAGAGUUGUAAUCUUGAAUUGACUAGUUAUUCAAAUAGGUUUAUUUUUAUUUAACAUGGGGUUAUAGGAGAACAUAUCAGUUCCCUGGGGUUAUGGUCUUUGGGUAAAUACAAAAUGUGCUUUGUUCAUUCUACAUAUAAAAUAGAAAUAUAUGUAAACAAGGGAUAACAGUUACUCCAAAUAGGUUAUUGGAGUGGGGGUUUCUGCAAGGGUUAUGAUGAUAACUACAUAAUCUGUAACUCAUCUGAGAGAUCGCCAGUAGAAUAAGGGAGUUAUCAUGGAAAUGUAAUGUCAGAAUGCAUUCAUGCUUGGGAGAGACUAUCAUAACACCAAGUGGGUGUGAAAUUUAUAAACAACAUUUAGUUAUGUUUUGGUUAUAGGACUGUUUAAAUUUAUUAGGCCUAGGGAAGCUCUGGAAACUAAUCCUGAGACAGGGUGAUUGACAGAAUUUACAGAAUAUUAAAUUAAAGGUUUUUGUUUCUUUUAUUUUACAAUAUCAUAGUAAUUGGAGUGAUACAUUGGAAUGACAUAAGUAAUUGAAUAAAAAGUAUAGUCUGUUGUGUGAUAACACCCAAGGAUGAAGAAGACAUUACAAAUAGUGGUAAUUUAUUGCAAAAUAUGCAGUCAUUAUAAUUUACUUUACCAUUUUUCUUGUUUGGUCAAUUUAUUUUUGGUUUGAGGAAAAUAAGAGUGUAUAUUUUUCCUGAGGAGGGACUGAUAUAAAUUGACUAAAAAUGAUUUGAGAAUGUUUAAGUAUGUAUCAAACUAUGGAAGGAAAUUAGGAGUAGUGACUUAUGUGUUAUGGGUUAGAAAAACUGUAACUACAUUGGGGGCUCAUAUAUGAAGGUUAUGGUAACAAGAGGGGGGUGUUAUUUCUAGAAACAGUGUAUAUUGAUAGACAAGAUAAUUCACGGAAAAGGAAGGACAGUUGGUUUUGUAAAAAUAUAGGGACAAUUCUAAAAGUAAAUAGAACAUUACACAUACCUAGAUUAUGGUAAAAGUAAUAAGUAGUGGCAUUUUGAACACUAGAGCAAAAGUUUAAGAAGUUUAGGAUUUAGUUUUGUUAGGAUUGGAUAUUCUUUCAACUGGAAGACACUUGACUGAUUACAUGUUAUUCUUGCAGCAGUUACGGUAGGGAUCAUAAUUUGGCUAUCAUUAUGAAUAUUUUUGUGGCAAGAGGCCAGGUAUUUAAGACAGAAUGUUUACAUAGGGCUGUUAUUUAAAAAUUAAGAUUUAGUGAUCUUGCUCUAAGAAGAAAGUCUGUUGUCAGGAAAUAACCCAUGAGUUAGUUUGUAUGUUCCCAGGAAAAGACGCCAGAUGGAAGGGCAUGGGCUGAAUUCUGGAAACUGAGUGUACAUCAAGAUACACCGGGCUGGGGAUAUACUUCUUACAGCACCUGCAGUGGUAAAGAUUGUCAUGUCUCUCUAUGAUGGGUGCAUAAGUUUCACAAGAAGUAAGGUCCAGCUGAAUAAUGGGUGAGCUUGAAAACACCAUGACAGAGGACGUGAAACAAAACAAAAGAGAGAGAGAGAGAGACUAGAUUCUACUGUAGACAUACUGGGUUGAGUUUGGGGGUUAUUUGUUUUAUUUGAUAAUGUAUCAUGUGAAUAAGGAUAUAUGUUAGGGUAGUUGUACUCUAAACCACAUGUUGAAGGCUCAAUGUGGAAGCCCAUUCCGUGUUGAAUUACUUUAAGAAGCAAUAAUGUUGAUUAAGGUUAUGCACAUGUUUAUCAGUUGAAACAGAGCAGAUGGGGAACUAAGUAAAAAAUGACAUGGUUUGGGAACACCUCUCAGAACCUGUGGCCGAAAGGGGAAGACUGGAUGAAAGCACGAGGAAGCCAAUUAGGGCCUCCAUUUUUGUGGAGUCCAGCAGAAAAGUAUCCUGGAGGCAUAGAGUCAGUCUUAUGUUUAGGAAACCAGAUGGAGAAGGGUUCUCCAGCUUCAGCUGGAAUGUCAGUUUGUGUGAUGAGUGAUGGAAGUAAGAGAAUGUAUGGUGUAAUCAUAGAACAGAGGCCAUAAGUCUCUAAGUAUGAAUGCCCCACAGAAAGAAGGCAGAAAUCUGAACCAGGAUGAGAGGUUCCACAUCUGAUGAUCCAAGGGGACCAGAAGGAUCUCUCCCAGUGAUACCAGGAGAUCGAGUCUACGUUUGAGUGUUCCGAAGGAAGUGGGAUCAGCCGAGGAGGGAAGGACCCUACGAGGUGGCAACAGCCACAAACACGGCCGUCCAAGUGAAAGGAAGCAAGACGUGGUAUCAUCUAAACCACUGUACCCGAGUCCCGACGGAGAGAAGGACACAACCAUACAGAGAUGAGGACACAGAUGAUGCUGAUUCACCAGAAGGGACCCCGGAGGGAGCAGGAGCAGCGGAAUCGAUCAAAGCGCCGGGGAGGAAUCAAGAAAAUGGCAGACCAGAUACAACGAGUGCAUCGGCUAACACACUCAGAAGAACGAACAAGAAAAAAAAAAAGAGCCUGAAAAGAAAAGAGACAAACAACCAAAGUUUCCUCCAGUAUGGCCAGAAAGCCCAGAAGUGGGAGGGGGUAACAUGUCUGCCACUCCUGAUGAUAUACUUGUUGGGGCAGACUCUGUUGACGGAAGCCUUCUACAGUGGGACCCCGAGGUAUCGCCUAAAGAAUGUGAACAUCUCUUCCCUGAAAUGGUCACCUUCCAGAUGGAAGCACAGUCCGGCCUGAGGAGGGAGCCUCAGGGGAAGACAGAGGAGGAGAGGCCUCACAGGAACAGAAGGAGAGACCCCGCAAAGAGGAGGAAAAGUCCAGCAAGCUGAAGAAAAUGGGGAUUUCCCCAAAAUUGACUUUUCAGCUCUUGAAUUGUCUCCUUAACAGACACUUGAAGUUAGAGCCACAGAAGAACAAUGAUAUUGACAUAACAGAAGUAACAGUGAACGCUAGAAUAGCAACAACAGACUCACGCACAAUCAAGAUGUAGGGUGGAAACAGGAAGAGAAGAGAGGAACCAGUCAAACAAUCUAAAAAGACUGACAAGGUUAGAAUCUCUGUUCCACCUCAACAUAUAACUGAAACAGAAGAAUAGAAGACAAAAGGAUCAAACCCUUACCGGAGAUUGCAUUCGGUGGAUGGACAUAUCAUCGAACGAAGAGAGAAGUUAUUUGGGACUCAAAAGGAUGUGACCUGACGUUAACCAAAGAAGUAGACGAGUGGGUGCUCACCAGGAAUCAGAUUGAACCAGUUGAAGGUGAAGAAUUAAUAGGUGAAAUAAUGAGAACAAGAUUGACUGAAGGGAGUAGUUCCUCAGUCAUUCAGAAUUGGUCUUACGCCAAUACCUAAACAGGAAGAGCCUGUGGUAGCUAGAAAGCAUCAGAACCAGGAGGGUUCUUUAUUGACAUUUUGAACUUUUUGACUAACUCUAAUGACCUACCUCAAGAUAAGAACAUUGCAAAGAUGACAGACAGACAUACCAGACUCUGAACCACUCAAGGACACCACAUGAAAAGAAUAGUGAAGAAUGAGUGGUACGAAUGGGCUAAGUAUACAGCAGAAAUAAACAUAGAAUGGACAAUUGUAUUUUGUGUAGAAAAUCACCUUUGUCUGAUCUUUUGAUAGUACCUGAACCUGCAUCAUUUGAAGAAUGUGUUAAAUGUAAAAUGUUCAAUAUUCAGAGAAAAUACUACAUUCCCUUGUGUGACCUGGAAGGGGGGUUAUUGGCUCUGGGUAUUGUAUUUUGUUGUGUUUUACCCUGGGUGAAAUCACUUGUGAUCCAGACAACGGUUAAACAGAUGUUUGUAAGUAGAGCUGACACUCCGGUGAUAGUUGAUCCUGUGCCGGGUAGGCCAGGCCACUAUACUGAUGAAAAUGGACAGUUAUGCUGUCCUUCCAAAUUCAUAAGAAAGUCAACUGAUGCAUAUCCACAAAAAGGGUCAUUUCCGUAGUAAGUACAAGAGGUGUUAUGUAAGGUCUACUUUUGCUCACGGCCUUGUGUUUUAGUAUGUUUUGUCAAAUGUUUUUAUAGGUAUAUCAAUGAAUAUAUCUGGUUUCUUUUAAUUAAAAGUUAGUUUUGCCUUCUAAAAUGCUAGGUUAUAUUUAAAAACAUGUAGGUAACAGUGGGAUAUCCCGGUUACAAGUGUCUACGGACCAUGUCCUUAAUCUUCUAACAGAGGUUGGUAUUGAUGGUAUCACGGUUGUUGGAGAGGUGUCUGAGAGGGAGAAUCAUGUGGAAAGCUUAAAUUUAGAAUGAUGUGUCAAUUUUAUUUUGUAACUGCAUGGAGGCCUAGUGUUUUCUCAUAUUCAAUUUAUUAUUUGACUCAUUGCUUUAUUAUAUAUAUUUUUCUUUUUCGCGUAGCUGAGAACCUCAGACAAGGUUAUGUAUUUACAUGCUCAUGCUUUAACAAAAGAUAAUGUAUUCUUUUUUGUUUCUAUACCGAACUAGAUAUUUUACUCUUAUGAAAUACUAGAGAUGUUUGGUGUAGGUGAUUAGGAAGUUUUAUUUUUUAAUUAUUUUUUGUUUUUUUAUUUAAAAAUAUUUUUUUUGAUAAUCGACUGUUGAUAUUAUGUUCCAUAUGUCCUUUUUAAGUUUUUGGUGCUUAUUAAAGCACCAGAGGGGGGUUAUGUGGGAGAAAUUAGGUACAUAUAUGGAUAAAUAUAUUGUCCUAUAUAAUGGCAUUUGCCAUUCUGGUAAGGUACAUUGUCUAUUGUAUAGGACAGGAAGCCAGAGUGGGGCCAUGGGAGAGGGCAACACCUAGGGCAGCUGGACAUACAAAGGUCAGAGGUUAUCUAAGGAGGGGGUCAGCCAAAGGACCAAUUGAUGGAUUACAGACAUCAAUCACAUCACAGGAGACAAGUCUGUUUGAUCUUAGACAACCAUAUGAAGAGAAGGCGACCAGAACAGCUAGGCACCCUAAAGCUAAAGGAGAUGAAAGACACCAAAAGGGACACAUGGAGUUAAUUACAGGGUAUGAACACAGGCCACAGGAAAGGGGAAUGUAUAGUAUUUUUAGUAUAGCUGAGCAUGCUAAAAACAGAAGAGACACAUAGUCUGCUGACCCUAGAUAACACACAAACAGGAGAACGCAUUAAGCUGAGUGAAGGGUCAAAGCAAGGGUCUUGUCACCAUUAGGAUCUAAUGGAAAGCAGAUGGGGGCGUUAUUGGGCUGAACAAGCAGGAAGCACGGAUUGGGAUGUAACUUAAUUUGCAUAUGGGAGGGACUUAUAUGGUAGGUGUAUAACUCAGAGCGAGGGCUCUGAAAAAGUGUGUGUGUUCCGCGGACCGCUCCGGCUUAUGAUACUGUUGUAUUAAAAGUCUAUAUUGAUUUUCACAAA
This is a non-coding RNA of Oncorhynchus mykiss (rainbow trout), 9275 nucleotides long. Lineage: Eukaryota; Metazoa; Chordata; Actinopteri; Salmoniformes; Salmonidae. The record is from RefSeq and is a predicted model, not a curated record.